AUGCUGGUUUCAGCAGCACCUGUGCUAACAUGGGAACCAUGCAAAAGAUUAACACAUCCCCUGCACAGGAUGACAUGCAGAUUUGUGAAACAUUCCAUAUUUUU
Cavia porcellus (domestic guinea pig) is the source of this 104-nucleotide small nuclear RNA. Lineage: Eukaryota; Metazoa; Chordata; Mammalia; Rodentia; Caviidae. The record is from Ensembl.